UACGUAGGAGGCAAGCGUUGUCCGGAAUUACUGGGCGUAAAGCGUGCGUAGGUGGUUUGUUAAGUCUGUUGUGAAAGCCCCGGGCUCAACCUGGGAAUGGCAAUGGAUACUGGCAGGCUAGAGUGCGGUAGAGGGUAGUGGAAUUCCCGGUGUAGCGGUGAAAUGCGUAGAGAUCGGGAGGAACACCAGUGGCGAAGGCGGCUACCUGGGCCGAUACUGACGCUGAGGAGCGAAAGCAUGGGUAGCGAACAGG
Molecule: ribosomal RNA, 253 nt
Filed under: uncultured bacterium
Lineage: Bacteria
Description: partial 16S ribosomal RNA
Rfam family: Bacterial small subunit ribosomal RNA
Source: RNAcentral